RNAcentral lists this ribosomal RNA (251 nucleotides) under uncultured prokaryote. Its description in RNAcentral is "partial 16S rRNA". It matches the Rfam family "Bacterial small subunit ribosomal RNA", at positions 525 to 775 of the family's 1533-position model. The record is from RNAcentral.
ACGUAGGGUGCGAGCGUUAAUCGGAAUUACUGGGCGUAAAGCGUGCGCAGGCGGUUAUAUAAGACAGAUGUGAAAUCCCCGGGCUCAACCUGGGAACUGCGUUUGUGACUGUAUGACUAGAGUACGGCAGAGGGAGGUGGAAUUCCGCGUGUAGCGGUGAAAUGCGUAGAGAUGCGGAGGAACGCCGAUGGCGAAGGCAGCCUCCUGGUCCAGUACUGACGCUCAUGCACGAAAGCGUGGGGAGCAAACAG